Molecule: ribosomal RNA, 2923 nt
Filed under: Klebsiella pneumoniae
Lineage: Bacteria; Pseudomonadati; Pseudomonadota; Gammaproteobacteria; Enterobacterales; Enterobacteriaceae
Description: 23S ribosomal RNA
Rfam family: Bacterial large subunit ribosomal RNA
Source: RNAcentral
GGGUUGUGAGGUUAAGCGACUAAGCGUACACGGUGGAUGCCCUGGCAGUCAGAGGCGAUGAAGGACGUGCUAAUCUGCGAAAAGCGUCGGUAAGGUGAUAUGAACCGUUAUAGCCGGCGAUGUCCGAAUGGGGAAACCCAGUGUGAUUCGUCACACUAUCGUUAACUGAAUACAUAGGUUAACGAGGCGAACCGGGGGAACUGAAACAUCUAAGUACCCCGAGGAAAAGAAAUCAACCGAGAUUCCCCCAGUAGCGGCGAGCGAACGGGGAGCAGCCCAGAGUCUGAAUCAGCUUGUGUGUUAGUGGAACGGUCUGGAAAGUCCGACGGUACAGGGUGAUAGUCCCGUACACCAAAAUGCACAGGCUGUGAACUCGAAGAGUAGGGCGGGACACGUGGUAUCCUGUCUGAAUAUGGGGGGACCAUCCUCCAAGGCUAAAUACUCCUGACUGACCGAUAGUGAACCAGUACCGUGAGGGAAAGGCGAAAAGAACCCCGGCGAGGGGAGUGAAAAAGAACCUGAAACCGUGUACGUACAAGCAGUGGGAGCACCUUCGGGUGUGACUGCGUACCUUUUGUAUAAUGGGUCAGCGACUUAUAUUCUGUAGCAAGGUUAACCGUAUAGGGGAGCCGCAGGGAAACCGAGUCUUAACUGGGCGUUAAGUUGCAGGGUAUAGACCCGAAACCCGGUGAUCUAGCCAUGGGCAGGUUGAAGGUUGGGUAACACUAACUGGAGGACCGAACCGACUAAUGUUGAAAAAUUAGCGGAUGACUUGUGGCUGGGGGUGAAAGGCCAAUCAAACCGGGAGAUAGCUGGUUCUCCCCGAAAGCUAUUUAGGUAGCGCCUCGUGAACUCAUCUUCGGGGGUAGAGCACUGUUUCGGCUAGGGGGUCAUCCCGACUUACCAACCCGAUGCAAACUACGAAUACCGAAGAAUGUUAUCACGGGAGACACACGGCGGGUGCUAACGUCCGUCGUGAAGAGGGAAACAACCCAGACCGCCAGCUAAGGUCCCAAAGUCAUGGUUAAGUGGGAAACGAUGUGGGAAGGCACAGACAGCCAGGAUGUUGGCUUAGAAGCAGCCAUCAUUUAAAGAAAGCGUAAUAGCUCACUGGUCGAGUCGGCCUGCGCGGAAGAUGUAACGGGGCUAAACCAUGCACCGAAGCUGCGGCAGCGACACUAUGUGUUGUUGGGUAGGGGAGCGUUCUGUAAGCCUGCGAAGGUGUGCUGUGAGGCAUGCUGGAGGUAUCAGAAGUGCGAAUGCUGACAUAAGUAACGAUAAAGCGGGUGAAAAGCCCGCUCGCCGGAAGACCAAGGGUUCCUGUCCAACGUUAAUCGGGGCAGGGUGAGUCGACCCCUAAGGCGAGGCCGAAAGGCGUAGUCGAUGGGAAACAGGUUAAUAUUCCUGUACUUGGUGUUACUGCGAAGGGGGGACGGAGAAGGCUAUGUUAGCCGGGCGACGGUUGUCCCGGUUUAAGCAUGUAGGCUGGUUAUCCAGGCAAAUCCGGAUAAUCAAGGCUGAGGUGUGAUGACGAGGCACUACGGUGCUGAAGUAACAAAUGCCCUGCUUCCAGGAAAAGCCUCUAAGCAUCAGGUAACAUCAAAUCGUACCCCAAACCGACACAGGUGGUCAGGUAGAGAAUACCAAGGCGCUUGAGAGAACUCGGGUGAAGGAACUAGGCAAAAUGGUGCCGUAACUUCGGGAGAAGGCACGCUGGUGUGUAGGUGAAGUCCCUGCGGAUGGAGCUGAGACCAGUCGAAGAUACCAGCUGGCUGCAACUGUUUAUUAAAAACACAGCACUGUGCAAACACGAAAGUGGACGUAUACGGUGUGACGCCUGCCCGGUGCCGGAAGGUUAAUUGAUGGGGUUAUCCGUAAGGAGAAGCUCUUGAUCGAAGCCCCGGUAAACGGCGGCCGUAACUAUAACGGUCCUAAGGUAGCGAAAUUCCUUGUCGGGUAAGUUCCGACCUGCACGAAUGGCGUAAUGAUGGCCAGGCUGUCUCCACCCGAGACUCAGUGAAAUUGAACUCGCUGUGAAGAUGCAGUGUACCCGCGGCAAGACGGAAAGACCCCGUGAACCUUUACUAUAGCUUGACACUGAACAUUGAGCCUUGAUGUGUAGGAUAGGUGGGAGGCUUUGAAGCGUGGACGCCAGUCUGCGUGGAGCCAACCUUGAAAUACCACCCUUUAAUGUUUGAUGUUCUAACGUUGGCCCCUUACCGGGGUUGCGGACAGUGUCUGGUGGGUAGUUUGACUGGGGCGGUCUCCUCCCAAAGCGUAACGGAGGAGCACGAAGGUUAGCUAAUCCUGGUCGGACAUCAGGAGGUUAGUGCAAUGGCAUAAGCUAGCUUGACUGCGAGCGUGACGGCGCGAGCAGGUGCGAAAGCAGGUCAUAGUGAUCCGGUGGUUCUGAAUGGAAGGGCCAUCGCUCAACGGAUAAAAGGUACUCCGGGGAUAACAGGCUGAUACCGCCCAAGAGUUCAUAUCGACGGCGGUGUUUGGCACCUCGAUGUCGGCUCAUCACAUCCUGGGGCUGAAGUAGGUCCCAAGGGUAUGGCUGUUCGCCAUUUAAAGUGGUACGCGAGCUGGGUUUAGAACGUCGUGAGACAGUUCGGUCCCUAUCUGCCGUGGGCGCUGGAGAAUUGAGGGGGGCUGCUCCUAGUACGAGAGGACCGGAGUGGACGCAUCACUGGUGUUCGGGUUGUCAUGCCAAUGGCACUGCCCGGUAGCUAAAUGCGGAAGAGAUAAGUGCUGAAAGCAUCUAAGCACGAAACUUGCCCCGAGAUGAGUUCUCCCUGAGACUUUAAGUCUCCUGAAGGAACGUUAAAGACGAUGACGUUGAUAGGCCGGGUGUGUAAGCGCAGCGAUGCGUUGAGCUAACCGGUACUAAUGAACCGUGAGGCUUAACCUUACAACGCCGAAG